AGGAAUAUUGGUCAAUGGGGGCAACCCUGAACCAGCCAAGUCGCGUGAAGGAUGAAGGUCUUAUGGAUUGUAAACUUCUUUUAUACAGGAAUAAAUUGGGGGACGUGUCCCCUUUUGCAUGUACUGUAUGAAUAAGGAUCGGCUAACUCCGUGCCAGCAGCCGCGGUAAUACGGAGGAUCCGAGCGUUAUCCGGAUUUAUUGGGUUUAAAGGGUGCGCAGGCGGGAUGUUAAGUCGGCGGUGAAAUUUUGCAGCUCAACUGUAAAAGUGCCUUCGAUACUGGCCUUCUUGAGUGUGGAUGAAGUAGGCGGAAUUUGUGGUGUAGCGGUGAAAUGCUUAGAUAUCACGAGGAACUCCGAUUGCGCAGGCAGCUUACUAAGCCACAACUGACGCUCAUGCACGAAGGCGUGGGGAUCAAACA
This 420-nucleotide ribosomal RNA is filed under the name uncultured bacterium. Its description in RNAcentral is "bacterial SSU rRNA". It matches the Rfam family "Bacterial small subunit ribosomal RNA", at positions 357 to 774 of the family's 1533-position model. The record is from RNAcentral.